UACUCCUGAAAGCACACAAGAGCAACAGGCUCUUCUUGUGAGCAAGUGUAUGUGUUACUGACACACGUGGGAUGCUGACAUACGUGUGCUGCUCACACACGUGGGCUGUUACCACCCUUUGCUUCCAAAUGUAUGCCCUGCUUCGUUACUCAGUUCAUACCUACGUGGUCCAGGCAGCCAGAAGAUGAUGCCCUGCACUGUCGCUGAUCUCCCUGCUGGCCCUGGCCAUGUCAGCUCUCCCCUCUGAGAUGGCACCAUGAAGACAAUGUGCCUGAAUGCAGGAGAUGACUGAAGACACCAUCAGCAGAACCAAAGGAGCAACUGAAACCCAGAAGUCAGCUGUUUGCUGCUUGACCUGUUUUUCUCUAGGAAGCUUGUCAGACACCUUUCGGAUGCUUUUCUGUGUCCUCCAGGUAGAAGGAAAACUGCCCGAGAAGCAUUCCUGGAAUGACCGAUUUCAAUGUUAUAAAUCCCUGGAUUUUUCAUCUCCCUUUGAACGAAAUGCCAAAGGGGAUUAAAGACUAAAGAACAAAUCACAAAUUUACAUUAUUAAAAUUACUGUAAUCAUGAGUGUUUUCUAGCCUUAAUCA
Molecule: long non-coding RNA, 590 nt
Organism: Pezoporus occidentalis (night parrot)
Lineage: Eukaryota; Metazoa; Chordata; Aves; Psittaciformes; Psittacidae
Exons: 3
Source: RefSeq, a predicted model, not a curated record